AUAAUAUAUGAGGGGGGAUAGGAGGGGUCCUGAUCCCGAAAUCCCGGACUUAAAAUAACGAAUUCCCGAGGUCCCGAAUUUAAAUACAGUAAAUCCUGAUGUCCCAAAAUCCGAAAAAAACGAUUCCCGUAUCCCGAAAAGGUCAAUCCCAAAAUCCCAAGCUUAAAAACACCCGAUCCCGGAGUCCCGAUAAAGGUCCUAUCCCCCCUCAUAUAUCCUACCAUAGUCUAAAAUCGUUCAUCUUGUCAGUUCGUUAGGUAUUUGUGUUUGAACUUAACACACGGGGAAACUCCGCAUUGACGUCACUACACUACUUCCGGCGUAGAAAAACAGUGCAGAAUACGUUUUUUCUGCACUUUUGAAUAAAAAAAACAUUUCUUACGGUAAGUUUUCAUCGUUGUUCUCAAUUAUUGCUAAAAAAUGCCAAUUUUCUAAUGCCCAUUUCAAUCCCGACUUCCGAAUGUCUAAAAACAUUCUAGAACUUCACAAAAUCCCAUUUCCAGCCUCCAUUGCUUUGUGUACAUUCCAUUCAGCGUCAUCAAUCUUGUGGCAGGCAAUACAGGUCAAGUAAAUCGUAUUUUUAGGAAUUUUAAAACGACAUGCUCCUUACGUCUUUCGUGAUUUUCCCGCGAAAAAAGCCCAACCAAAAUGAAAGGAAAACUAUAUGAAAAAACGAUGUCCAUGCCAUAAUUUUGUACAGGAAUAUAGAGUAGGUUAAAAUAAAAAACAAUUUACAUUUAUUUUUCAUAGAAUUUUUUUUUAUCCAUUAUAAAAAGAUCGAUAUUCUGACCAUCAUGACUGUAGGUAAAUAUUCAUACAAAAUUCCAUUGAUGUCAAAAGGGAUGGCAAAAAAGAGUUUCCCUGUUGAAUAAACCCAAAAUUAUUGCAAACUAUUUUGAAGCAAUAUCCCACAAAGAAAUAACGUAAUUGCCGUAGACUGAAAAAUCCCCUAAUUGACAGUAGAGCAAUUUGAUUGGGUAUAAGGAAUUGACAUCACGUGAUUUUGACGCCAUUGAAAUUUGAAUGUAAACAAACAAGGUCAGAAGGUUCAGUAUGGGAUCACAUCGUACAUUUAGUUACUUGGACUACAAAAUGUUUGCUUACAUACAUGUACAUUUACAUGUACAUGAUGAUGAAUUCUUCGAAACAGUUCUAAAUUCUUUACCUUGAAUGAUUUCAUUAAAUUGUUAUAUGUAUUUCUAUUCCAAGCUAUAAUGUAUUAACAUUCUGUACAUGUAUUUCUAUUCUAGGUUACCCUGUUUAAUGGUAACCAUUCUGUAACAUAUAUUUCUAUUCUAGGCUACAGUGUAUUACCAAGUUUUUCAAGUUGUCAACAGAUUUAGACAGUA
Molecule: long non-coding RNA, 1349 nt
Filed under: Mytilus galloprovincialis (Mediterranean mussel)
Lineage: Eukaryota; Metazoa; Mollusca; Bivalvia; Mytilida; Mytilidae
Source: RNAcentral